RNA transcript from Arachis stenosperma, 1897 nucleotides. RefSeq lists it as uncharacterized. Lineage: Eukaryota; Viridiplantae; Streptophyta; Magnoliopsida; Fabales; Fabaceae. The record is from RefSeq and is a predicted model, not a curated record. The transcript has 4 exons.
CUGAUAGACAAAUCCGUGAUUGUAUUAGGGUUUGGAGUUGGAGACAGAGUCUCAGUGCGGGUUGCGACUUGCGAGCUCCAAGAUACUUCGUUUCGUCAAUCUUCUCUUGAUUCCUUUCAGGAACACAACGUCAUCGUCUUGUGCUGCCUGGUGUCCUCGGCUACACAAAAGAUUCUCUCGUUCAUUGUGGUUUACUGGUUCAACGCACUCGCCGGUUUCGAGCUUCUCUGUUCUCGCCGGUUCUCUGCUUUUCCAGUCUCUCCGCUCUUGGAACACUGAAAGACGGUAGAAAUUGAAAAGAAAGAAAGAGAAGGUUGUUAUGGCGGGGCAGGCAGGGAAAGCUGCAGCUGGUAAUGUGGCGAAGGCGGUAGCGGCAGCGGAGUAUCAGUAUCCGUGGCGUGAGAAGUUGGCUAAAUACAAGGAUGAACUUGCCAAGGGUGUGUGGGGGUACUGGGAGCUGGGGGCAUGGAAGCCCCUCAGCAUCAGCGCCAGGCGGAGGGCUAGGCUUCGCAAGGAAGUUCUUCUUGCUGGGGAAGAUUGGCAGUUUGAUCCGGAAAGGAAGGAGAUGAGAACAAGGAGGAAAGGGCACAAGUGCGAUAGGAUAGCCGCGGAGAAGAGGGAGAACACGGCCAGGUUGAUGGAGAAGAUGCCGGAAAUGUUGCUAGAUUACAAGAAGAGAAGGUGGCAGAAGAAGAUGAAGGAAGAAGACAAAGGCAAACUGUGAUUUUGUCAUUCUUUUUGCUCAAAUCUGCCUAUGCAAAUUUAUAAACUUGCUUUAGAAAUGUGCUUGCUCCUUGGAAUCUGCAUGGUUGAGUGCAUGUUGGAACUAACAUUGCUUAUCUUAGGCAGUAGCUGGUCUAGUCUAGUCCCUUCCGAGGCAUCUCAAAGACAUCCGCAUGCUUCCUCGAUACGUUGUUAAAACUCAAAGCUAAGUGUACUGUUGUUCAAUCUUUUUCUUCCAUAUCAUUGAUAAUGUUUCCUUCUAUUACAGUGAUUGAAUUAUGAUAUUGAUGAAUAGCUCUGCAAAAUACUUAAGCAUAGUCUACUUCAUCUUUUCAGUUAAGGUUUCAAUUUUUCCCAAUAGAAAUAGAAUUUAACUUUCAACUGGUUCCAUUCUGCAUCAUAUAUAAUCUAUGGGAAUUCUGCUGAUGUGCUCCAUGAGUGCUGACCAUCAAACGAAAGUAAAGUGUGUAGUCAAGAAAGAGGGAAAUGUGAGUAUGAAUUGAGUGAAUGGAAAACUCAGAGAUUAAUCUGAUGUAUGUAUGUAUAUAGUGAUUAGUGCACCAGAAGGAGUAUUGCACAUCAAUGCAGUAGAUCACUCACCUCUACUGCUGACUGAUUCAGCUAAUCUUACCAACAAAUUCAUAUGGCCAACACUGAAACACUGCUUCCAGCAGCAGCAGCAGCAGCUUCUCCUUUAGAUGCAAAUCCUAGGGAAAGGCUCCUUCAUGAUUUGAAUCUGGAUUAUUGAAUUCAAUGUUCAAUGUCCUUACUGUUGGCACCAGAUGCAGUUAGAAAGGAAAGUCUCGUGCACAUGAUGAAGCCACUAUACAAUGCUUUCGCUAAGCUAGUGGAAAUCUGGCUAGUUCAGCAUGUGCCACUGAAGACAAUUACAAUGAUCGUCUAAUGCCUUGUUUUAUGGUUGUUCCAAAUUAUGGUAGCAACGCGCAUACAGAAGUGGCUAAGGUAACAUGCGUCUCAAUAACAUUACCACUAAUAAUAAUCAUUUUCUGAUGAUCCUAGCUAGGGGAGGAGCUAAUUUUUUAAUUUCUCCAAAAUGAUGAAUUAAGGGAUGUUAUUCUUGAUUUCAUUUAAAAGUGAAUCUUUUCAUAUUUUGCAAUGCAAUAUUACAAUCUAGUAAAAUAUAUACCUGUAUUUAAAUGUUAAGCAAAUAUUU